AUGAUGCCCAGCUUGCUGGGUGGAUUAGUGGCGAACGGGUGAGUAACACGUGAGUAACCUGCCCCUGACUCUGGGAUAAGCGUUGGAAACGACGUCUAAUACUGGAUAUGAUCACUGGCCGCAUGGUCUGGUGGUGGAAAGAUUUUUUGGUUGGGGAUGGACUCGCGGCCUAUCAGCUUGUUGGUGAGGUAAUGGCUCACCAAGGCGACGACGGGUAGCCGGCCUGAGAGGGUGACCGGCCACACUGGGACUGAGACACGGCCCAGACUCCUACGGGAGGCAGCAGUGGGGAAUAUUGCACAAUGGGCGAAAGCCUGAUGCAGCAACGCCGCGUGAGGGAUGACGGCCUUCGGGUUGUAAACCUCUUUUAGUAGGGAAGAAGCGAAAGUGACGGUACCUGCAGAAAAAGCACCGGCUAACUACGUGCCAGCAGCCGCGGUAAUACGUAGGGUGCAAGCGUUGUCCGGAAUUAUUGGGCGUAAAGAGCUCGUAGGCGGUUUGUCGCGUCUGCUGUGAAAUCCCGAGGCUCAACCUCGGGCUUGCAGUGGGUACGGGCAGACUAGAGUGCGGUAGGGGAGAUUGGAAUUCCUGGUGUAGCGGUGGAAUGCGCAGAUAUCAGGAGGAACACCGAUGGCGAAGGCAGAUCUCUGGGCCGUAACUGACGCUGAGGAGCGAAAGCAUGGGGAGCGAACAGGAUUAGAUACCCUGGUAGUCCAUGCCGUAAACGUUGGGCGCUAGAUGUAGGGACCUUUCCACGGUUUCUGUGUCGUAGCUAACGCAUUAAGCGCCCCGCCUGGGGAGUACGGCCGCAAGGCUAAAACUCAAAGGAAUUGACGGGGGCCCGCACAAGCGGCGGAGCAUGCGGAUUAAUUCGAUGCAACGCGAAGAACCUUACCAAGGCUUGACAUACACCGGAAACGGCCAGAGAUGGUCGCCCCCUUGUGGUCGGUGUACAGGUGGUGCAUGGUUGUCGUCAGCUCGUGUCGUGAGAUGUUGGGUUAAGUCCCGCAACGAGCGCAACCCUCGUUCUAUGUUGCCAGCGGGUUAUGCCGGGGACUCAUAGGAGACUGCCGGGGUCAACUCGGAGGAAGGUGGGGAUGACGUCAAAUCAUCAUGCCCCUUAUGUCUUGGGCUUCACGCAUGCUACAAUGGCCGGUACAAAGGGCUGCGAUACCGUAAGGUGGAGCGAAUCCCAAAAAGCCGGUCUCAGUUCGGAUUGAGGUCUGCAACUCGACCUCAUGAAGUCGGAGUCGCUAGUAAUCGCAGAUCAGCAACGCUGCGGUGAAUACGUUCCCGGGCCUUGUACACACCGCCCGUCAAGUCAUGAAAGUCGGUAACACCCGAAGCCGGUGGCCUAACC
This 1360-nucleotide ribosomal RNA is filed under the name Curtobacterium sp. Its description in RNAcentral is "bacterial SSU rRNA". It matches the Rfam family "Bacterial small subunit ribosomal RNA", at positions 69 to 1440 of the family's 1533-position model. The record is from RNAcentral. Lineage: Bacteria; Bacillati; Actinomycetota; Actinomycetes; Micrococcales; Microbacteriaceae.